GUGCCAGCAGCCGCGGUAAUACGUAGGGUGCAAGCGUUGUCCUUAAUAUUUGGGCGUAAAGAGCUCGUAGGCGGUGUGUCACGUCUGCCGUGAAAACCUGCGGCUUAACCGUGGGCGUGCGGUGGAUACGGGCAUCACUUGAGUUCGGUAGGGGAGACUGGAAUUCCUGGUGUAGCGGUGGAAUGCGCAGAUAUCAGGAGGAACACCGGUGGCGAAGGCGGGUCUCUGGGCCGAUACUGACGCUGAGGAGCGAAAGCGUGGGGAGCGAACAGGAUUAGAUACCCUGGUAGUCCACGCCGUAAACGUUGGGCGCUAGGUGUGGGGCGCUGUUCACGUGUCCCGUGCCGUAGCUAACGCAUU
This 360-nucleotide ribosomal RNA is filed under the name Saccharomonospora sp. 42-157. Its description in RNAcentral is "bacterial SSU rRNA". It matches the Rfam family "Bacterial small subunit ribosomal RNA", at positions 505 to 861 of the family's 1533-position model. Lineage: Bacteria; Bacillati; Actinomycetota; Actinomycetes; Pseudonocardiales; Pseudonocardiaceae. The record is from RNAcentral.